AAAGCUUAUGCGGCAAAAUUUUCCUCGUUUUCCUCUUUUGGCCUAACCCCUCCUUUUUUUGUUCCAAACUUCCCAAAUUUCAACGCUUCAGAGCUGCUAAGUAGGAACGGAACGAUGAUCGGCCUUCCCUCAAUCGACAUUAGGGUUUGAAAUGAUGCAGAUUCAACUUAAAUCAAGGAAGGUUGUGCAAAAGCUAGAUAAAGGUCUCAGAGAAAUAAAGAAGUUUUUAGGAGAAAGAUGAUUUUAGAGAUCCUAGUUGGUAAAUGGACGUCAGGCAAUUUCAUCAAAGAGAAAACAAGUGGAAGGAACUCACAAAAGAGGAAAAAGUUGCAACAUUGAUUAGAUUGCAUAGUACUUUUCAAGAUAAUCAAAUUUUUAUUGUAGAAUAUAUUAGUUCAUCAUAAAUGCGACAAAAAAUAGUCUUUGUCCCAAAUUGCCUCAUCAGUAAUACAAUAUUUUUGACUAUUGAAUUAUCUUUGUAUUUUUUUUUAGAAUUGUAAUGGUCACUAAUCAUGACGAUUUAUAUUUA
Long non-coding RNA from Nicotiana tabacum (common tobacco), 529 nucleotides. RefSeq lists it as uncharacterized. The record is from RefSeq and is a predicted model, not a curated record. NCBI's taxonomy places the organism in Eukaryota, Viridiplantae, Streptophyta, Magnoliopsida, Solanales, Solanaceae.